GUGCUCACUUCAGCAGCACAUAUACUAAAAUUGGAAUGAUACACAGAAGAUUAGCAUGGCCCCUGUGCAAGGAUGAUAACACAAAUUCGUGAAGCAUUCCAUAUUUUU
Molecule: small nuclear RNA, 108 nt
Filed under: Cervus hanglu yarkandensis (Yarkand deer)
Lineage: Eukaryota; Metazoa; Chordata; Mammalia; Artiodactyla; Cervidae
Source: RNAcentral